CCCUGGCUCAGGACGAACGCUGGCGGCGUGCCUAAUACAUGCAAGUCGAGCGGAUCUUGUCCUUCGGGACAAGAUUAGCGGCGGACGGGUGAGUAACACGUGGGUAACCUGCCUGUAAGACUGGGAUAACAUCCGGAAACGGAUGCUAAUACCGGAUACGCGGUUUGGUCGCAUGACUGAACCGGGAAAGAUGGAGCAAUCUAUCACUUACAGAUGGACCCGCGGCGCAUUAGCUAGUUGGUGAGGUAACGGCUCACCAAGGCGACGAUGCGUAGCCGACCUGAGAGGGUGAUCGGCCACACUGGGACUGAGACACGGCCCAGACUCCUACGGGAGGCAGCAGUAGGGAAUCUUCCGCAAUGGACGAAAGUCUGACGGAGCAACGCCGCGUGAGUGAUGAAGGUUUUCGGAUCGUAAAGCUCUGUUGCCAGGGAAGAAUGCUUGGGAGAGUAACUGCUCCCAAGGUGACGGUACCUGAGAAGAAAG
RNAcentral lists this ribosomal RNA (486 nucleotides) under Paenibacillaceae bacterium CL6.80. RNAcentral's name for it is "bacterial SSU rRNA". It matches the Rfam family "Bacterial small subunit ribosomal RNA", at positions 17 to 490 of the family's 1533-position model. The record is from RNAcentral. Lineage: Bacteria; Bacillati; Bacillota; Bacilli; Caryophanales; Paenibacillaceae.